This 254-nucleotide ribosomal RNA is filed under the name uncultured bacterium. RNAcentral describes it as "partial 16S ribosomal RNA". It matches the Rfam family "Bacterial small subunit ribosomal RNA", at positions 524 to 776 of the family's 1533-position model. The record is from RNAcentral.
UACAGAGGUCUCAAGCGUUGUUCGGAUUCAUUGGGCGUAAAGGGUGCGUAGGUGGUGAUGCAAGUCUGGUGUGAAAUCUCGGAGCUCAACUCCGAAAUUGCACCGGAUACUGCGUGACUCGAGGACUGUAGAGGAGAUCGGAAUUCACGGUGUAGCAGUGAAAUGCGUAGAUAUCGUGAGGAAGACCAGUUGCGAAGGCGGAUCUCUGGGCAGUUCCUGACACUGAGGCACGAAGGUCAGGGGGAGCAAACGGG